GACGAACGCUGGCGGCGUGCUUAACACAUGCAAGUCGAACGGAAAGGCCCUGCUUUUGUGGGGUGCUCGAGUGGCGAACGGGUGAGUAACACGUGAGUAACCUGCCCUUGACUUUGGGAUAACUUCAGGAAACUGGGGCUAAUACCGGAUAGGAGCUCCUGCUGCAUGGUGGGGGUUGGAAAGUUUCGGCGGUUGGGGAUGGACUCGCGGCUUAUCAGCUUGUUGGUGGGGUAGUGGCUUACCAAGGCUUUGACGGGUAGCCGGCCUGAGAGGGUGACCGGCCACAUUGGGACUGAGAUACGACCCAGACUCCUACAGGAGGCAGCAGUGCAGAAUAUUUCACAAUGGGCGGAAGCCUGAUGCAGCAACGCCGCGUGCGGGAUGACGGCCUUCGGGUUGUAAACCGCUUUCGCCUGUGACGAAGCGUGAGUGACGGUAAUGGGUAAAGAAGCACCGGCUAACUACGUG
RNAcentral lists this ribosomal RNA (468 nucleotides) under uncultured bacterium. RNAcentral describes it as "partial 16S ribosomal RNA". It matches the Rfam family "Bacterial small subunit ribosomal RNA", at positions 28 to 507 of the family's 1533-position model. The record is from RNAcentral.